UCUGGUUGUCUGUCUCAUUUGAAAGCUUCUAACUGCAGGGAAUUGAGCGAGCAGGGAGCUAUAUUUCUCCCUCUUUGCUUCUGCUGAUGGUAUUUGUUCUGCAGCUGAUUCAGGUACCGAUUUUAGAGCUACUAAAGUGCUAGAUCGCCCUUGCUACCUCUCAAGGCUGCUCGAGGCUUUCUAAGGCAUUGAAAUACAAGCGCUAGCUGGUAUAAAGCUGAAAAAGAUACCUUCCACAUUUGGCGCCCAAUGUGCAAUCUCUGAACUCCGGUUCUGAGAGACUUUCAGUGUGUCCCGGCAGCUGUGUGUCUGCUGGAGUUAGCUCUGCACGUCCUGCUGUGCCAGCUCUGUGUGGCGAGGUGUUACUUUUUGUGUAACAUCGAGCCCAGAGCCUCAGCCUGUACCCUCCCCCACGCCACGUGGCGAGGGAACGGCUGGUGAGCAGAAGACCCUUCUCGCGUUUUUUUUCUCCGGACCUGCUUUCCUGUGAUAAAUCCAGAAUUCUGGUGAGUAUCUCCCUGCUGGUUUAGGGGCUCCUGUCUUAAGCUGGUGCCGGUGCAAGCUUUCUCUUUUUUUUUUUUUUUUUUUUUUUUUUUUUUUUUUUCCUCCUUUUUGGCGAGUAAGGGGUUGAGGUUUGGUGUGCAUUCAUAAUGGGAUCUGAAGUUUCUGCACACCAUAGAGAAAUAUACCACCAAGUUCAAAGUUACCUUUCUUGUACUGGGCAUAAAUACCCUAAAAAUCUAGUUCAAUCUUUUGUACACUGGCUUUUUCAGUACUUUCCUAAUCUGACCUCCGAAGACAUAAGAUCUGCUGAAUUUUGGGAUAAGGUGGGGAGAAAACUCUCCUCUCUUAGGCGUGCAGGAGAUGAAACAGUUUCAUCUCCUGCACGCCUAAGAGAGGAGAGUUUUCUCCCCACCUUAUCCCAAAAUUCAGCAGAUCUUAUGUCUUCGGAGGUCAGAUUAGGAAAGUACUGAAAAAGCCAGUGUACAAAAGAUUGAACUAGAUUUUUAGGGUAUUUAUGCCCAGUACAAGAAAGGUAACUUUGAACUUGGUGGUAUAUUUCUCUAUGGUGUGCAGAAACUUCAGAUCCCAUUAUGAAUGCACACCAAACCUCAACCCCUUACUCGCCAAAAAGGAGGAAAAAAAAAAAAAGAGGAAGUUUACACCGGCACCAGCUUAAGACAGGAGCCCCUAAACCAGCAGGGAGAUACUCACCAGAAUUCUGGAUUUAUCACAGGAAAGCAGGUCCGGAGAAAAAAAACGCGAGAAGGGUCUUCUGCUCACCAGCCGUUCCCUCGCCACGUGGCGUGGGGGAGGGUACAGGCUGAGGCUCUGGGCUCGAUGUUACACAAAAAGUAACACCUCGCCACACAGAGCUGGCACAGCAGGACGUGCAGAGCUAACUCCAGCAGACACACAGCUGCCGGGACACACUGAAAGUCUCUCAGAACCGGAGUUCAGAGAUUGCACAUUGGGCGCCAAAUGUGGAAGGUAUCUUUUUCAGCUUUAUACCAGCUAGCGCUUGUAUUUCAAUGCCUUAGAAAGCCUCGAGCAGCCUUGAGAGGUAGCAAGGGCGAUCUAGCACUUUAGUAGCUCUAAAAUCGGUACCUGAAUCAGCUGCAGAACAAAUACCAUCAGCAGAAGCAAAGAGGGAGAAAUAUAGCUCCCUGCUCGCUCAAUUCCCUGCAGUUAGAAGCUUUCAAAUGAGACAGACAACCAGAGAUGUUCACAGGAAAGUAGCUGAGCUGAGAGACAGGCGGAGCCUCUCCUCGACCAUCUUUAUUAGGAGAAGGGGAAAGGGGAGGACUGGGGGCGGACCCGGGGUGACCGGCCAAUCAGACACUGCUAAAGAGUCUGAGUUACAUUUGGCUUUGCCCGCGCUUGGAACAAAGGAGCUCGGAGCACAUGUCUUUGGGAGGGGGGAGGGGAAGCUCGGAACAGGCAGCAACAAUUCCCCAUAUCUUCAUGAAAUCACAACGGGUACUCUGAUAUAUCAUAGCUUCACAACAGAAUUUCAGCUUUAAGCAUCUCCUCUUUCUCUUCCCUCAGGUUUUCAGCUCUUCACAGCACUAAAAGGGUUA
Long non-coding RNA from Corvus moneduloides (New Caledonian crow), 2081 nucleotides. The record is from Ensembl. Lineage: Eukaryota; Metazoa; Chordata; Aves; Passeriformes; Corvidae.